This 305-nucleotide long non-coding RNA is filed under the name Citrus sinensis (sweet orange). RNAcentral describes it as "long non-coding RNA (CSIN_LNC001042)". Lineage: Eukaryota; Viridiplantae; Streptophyta; Magnoliopsida; Sapindales; Rutaceae. The record is from RNAcentral.
UUAGAUUAUAAAAGAUUACAUGUCUCUUCCUCUUUCUAUUUAAAUUCAAUAAUAUGUAACCAUUAAUAAUAAUUAAUUAUAAAUCUUGAAAUAUUUAUUUAUUUUAUUAUGCCAAUAAUUAAACUUUAGUAGCUUAAAUAUAUCAAUUAAUUAAUAUAGGAAUGAAUGUUCCUUCAUCUUCUCUCAACAAUGUCAUUAGGGUAUAAUUUUAAUGCUAUAAUCUCAUAUUUAAUUAUGCAACCUUUUGUUUAGUGCCUUUUGGCUUCUUCAAACUCUAUAAAUAUUAAGUAGUUAAGAUUUGUGGC